UGGAAACACGCACAUGGCUGUCUGCCCACCACAGAGAGAGGCCACAGAAGAAACCAGCCUGCCUGACACCUUGCUCCUGGACUCCCAACCUCCAGGACUGUGACGGGACAGGAGAAAUCCCUGUUGUUCAAGCUACCAGGUCAGGGGCGGCCCGGGCCCGUUAAGUGGCACGUACUCCCACCCGGCCCUGGGACAUUGGGGCCAGCCCACGAUGACGUAGCACUUGUUUGCAAGCUUUAUUUCCUUGACCGCACGGCUGAUUUUUCCACAUGAAACCCUAUGUCGCUCCUCAAAUGUAUAACAGAAAAGCGGGAGUGUUCUGGCUGUGCUGUUCAGCGUCCUUAUUCUCAAUGCCCCUGCAGCCCCGGGCGCCUUCCUUAGAGGACCCUGUAAACACUGCUGCACGGAAGAGUGCUACUCAUUUUGCAGAAGAGUAACUUCUGCAGAAAAACGUGAAAUGUGUUACUUCUUUUCCUCUCGGUGCUGCUACAUGCCUCACGGCUCCAGAGAAUCAGUGUAGUCCAGAGUCAGCCGAUGCGGUGUAGAGUGGAACGCUGGGUUUGCAGGCCCAUGCCAGGGCUCAAGUCCCUCCUCUCCACUCCCUGGCCGAGUGCCAUUUGAACAGGCGACCUGAGCUCUAUGAGCCACGUUUUCUCCUCUGUAAAGCGGCACAAGGUGCUGAGAUUGUGCAUGAGUCCAGAAGCCGCCUUGUAGAAUAAACGUGAGUUUCGGAGUCAGACAGUUCCGCGUUUGAACCCGGCUCUGCUGCCUCGUAGCUGUGUGGCCUUGGGUAAGUCGAGUGACCUCUCUGAGCUUCUUUCACGUGUCACAAAAUAUUCUUUAGAUUUUUUUUUUAAUUACGUUUUUAAUUUUGAUUCCAGUAUAGUUGACAUACAGUGUUACAUUAGUUUCAAGUGUACAAUAUAGUGAUUCAACAAUUCUAUAUAUUUCUCAGUGCUCAUCAUAAUAGAUAAGGGUACUCUUUGGAUUUUUAAAACAAUCGAGAAAUGUAAAAACCAUACUUACAGGUGGUUGCACAAAAACACAGCGGGCUAGAUUUGGCCGGUGGGCUGUAGUUUGCUGACCCACAGGUUAGACUGUGAAAGCCUCCAAAGCGUGAGCAAUUUCCUUUAUAUUCUCAGCGGACUCCCUGUAGAUCCAGCAAAUGGCUGGUGAAUGAGAACGUCUUGCUACCUCUUAGAGAUAGUAAUGUAGCUACUGGCUGGAGAUAUGAAUGUGAACAUGGCAUGUUGCUGGUACAGAAGGUUGUUCUGGAAAGACAGAAGCCCCUUCCAGGGGGAAUUUGCAUCUUAGGAGAGAAGGCAGGGAGAGCUAACAACCUUGGAAGUUGCUGCAAUUCUGGAAAAGCUGCCCUGGCUUCUCAGCCACUCCCCACUCCGCCAGCAGGGGGCGCUAGAGGACCGCUUUCCUCUGCGUGUCCAGGCAGCCGGGAAGCUUUGUCUGCGGCGCCCUGCCAGGAGGUGGGAGAUGCUGGGGAUGGCCCAGACGACCUCCGAGUGUCUUUUCUGCCCAUUGAAGCUUGGCUUUUUUUUCUUUUCUUUUCUUUCUUUCUUUCUUUUUUUUUUUUUUUUUUGCUGAGGAAUCCACAGGGAUGAACUUCCCGGAGCUGGCUGGCAGCUGUGAGUUCUGCAGGAGCAGCCCCCUGGCCCCAGAAAUGCAAUAAAAUGAGAACACGCCUCAUGUUGCAGGGGGCUGUCUGUCAUCCCGGAGUUUCAAUGUUUCAGAAUCGCAGCGACCACAGCUUUUGGGAGAAAAGAUCACAGGUCCAUGGUGUUCAGCAUGGUUUUCUCAGCAAGGAUCCCGACCAGUAGGAGCUGCUCAGAAGUGUAUGUCCUGCCCACCCCCCCCCUUCCAGGGCCCACUGCAUUAGACACUGCAGUUGGGGGCCAGCAGCUGACCCCUAACAAGCCCUCCAGGGAAUAAUUCAUCGCGUGUGCCCUGCACCGCUGGGAGAGAGCUGGGGAAGUGGCCAUGUGAGAGGCUCAGCUACCGGUUUUC
This is a long non-coding RNA of Acinonyx jubatus (cheetah), 2019 nucleotides long. RefSeq lists it as uncharacterized. NCBI's taxonomy places the organism in Eukaryota, Metazoa, Chordata, Mammalia, Carnivora, Felidae. The transcript is spliced from 3 exons. The record is from RefSeq and is a predicted model, not a curated record.